AUACGGAGGAUGCGAGCGUUAUCCGGAUUUAUUGGGUUUAAAGGGAGCGUAGGUGGGAUAUUAAGUCAGCUGUGAAAGUUUGGGGCUCAACCUUAAAAUUGCAGUUGAUACUGGUUUCCUUGAGUACGGUACAGGUGGGCGGAAUUCGUGGUGUAGCGGUGAAAUGCUUAGAUAUCACGAAGAACUCCGAUCGCGAAGGCAGCUCACCGGGCCGGAACUGACACUGAGGCUCGAAAGGGCGGGUAACAAACAGGAUUAGAUGCCCUGGUAGUCCGCACAGUAAACGAUGAAUACUCGCUGUUGGCGAUACACGGUAAGCGGCCAAGCGAAAGCGUUAAGUAUUCCACCUGGGGAGUACGCCGGCACCGGUGAAACUCAAAUGAAUUGACGGGG
This 393-nucleotide ribosomal RNA is filed under the name uncultured bacterium. Its description in RNAcentral is "partial 16S ribosomal RNA". It matches the Rfam family "Bacterial small subunit ribosomal RNA", at positions 523 to 918 of the family's 1533-position model. The record is from RNAcentral.